GCCCUGGUGGCAUAGUGGUAAAAGCACUUGGCUGCUAACCAAAAGGCCAGUGGUUCGAACCCCAUCAGCUGCU
This 73-nucleotide transfer RNA is filed under the name Loxodonta africana (African savanna elephant). It matches the Rfam family "tRNA". Rfam says of the family: Transfer RNA (tRNA) molecules are approximately 80 nucleotides in length. Their secondary structure includes four short double-helical elements and three loops (D, anti-codon, and T loops). Further hydrogen bonds mediate the characteristic L-shaped molecular structure. tRNAs have two regions of fundamental functional importance: the anti-codon, which is responsible for specific mRNA codon recognition, and the 3' end, to which the tRNAs corresponding amino acid is attached (by aminoacyl-tRNA synthetases). tRNAs cope with the degeneracy of the genetic code in two manners: having more than one tRNA (with a specific anti-codon) for a particular amino acid; and 'wobble' base-pairing, i.e. permitting non-standard base-pairing at the 3rd anti-codon position. Lineage: Eukaryota; Metazoa; Chordata; Mammalia; Proboscidea; Elephantidae. The record is from Rfam by way of RNAcentral.